RNAcentral lists this long non-coding RNA (225 nucleotides) under Dasypus novemcinctus (nine-banded armadillo). Its description in RNAcentral is "lncRNA (ENSDNOG00000051290.1)". The record is from RNAcentral. Lineage: Eukaryota; Metazoa; Chordata; Mammalia; Cingulata; Dasypodidae.
ACUGAUUCACAAAGGAGUGGGGUAUUCACUAAAAUAAAAACGCAGCCUUUUCCCAUCUCAGCAAGACCCAUUACGGAGGACCAGCAUCUGCUCGUCAUCUCCACUUUGGAUGAUCACACUGCCAUUCUAAUGGAAUCAGAAUGUUUAGGCUUUUCCCACACCCUUGUCCUGGUACAUUAAGAAAGAAGACAUGGAGACGGAGAAGAAAGAAACCGAGGACCCCCU